CAGCAGCCACGGUAAUACGAAGGGGGCUAGCGUUGUUCGGAAUUACUGGGCGUAAAGGGCGCGUAGGCGGCCAUUCAAGUUAGAUGUGAAAGCCCUGGGCUCAACCUAGGAAUUGCAUUUGAUACUGUUUGGCUUGAGUUCGGGAGAGGUGAGUGGAAUUCCCAGUGUAGAGGUGAAAUUCGUAGAUAUUGGGAAGAACACCAGUGGCGAAGGCGGCUCACUGGACCGACACUGACGCUGAGGCGCGAAAGCGUGGGGAGCGAACAGGAUUAGAUACCCGAGUAGUCCCUGUCUCUUAUAC
RNAcentral lists this ribosomal RNA (301 nucleotides) under uncultured bacterium. RNAcentral describes it as "partial 16S ribosomal RNA". It matches the Rfam family "Bacterial small subunit ribosomal RNA", at positions 509 to 807 of the family's 1533-position model. The record is from RNAcentral.